CGGGGUGCAGCAGGCGCGAAAACUUUACAAUGCGGGAAACCGUGAUAAGGGAACUCCGAGUGCCCGUUAAAUCGGGCUGUCCACCAGUUUAAAAAACUGGUGAAGAAAGGGCCGGGCAAGACCGGUGCCAGCCGCCGCGGUAAUACCGGCGGCUCGAGUGGUGGCCACUAUUACUGGGCUUAAAGCGUUCGUAGCUGGUUUGUUAAGUCUCUGGGGAAAUCUUCCGGCUUAACCGGAAGGCGUCUCAGGGAUACUGGCAGACUAGGGACCGGAAGAGGUGAGGGGUACUCCAGGGGUAGGAGUGAAAUCCUGUAAUCCUUGGGGGACCACCUGUGGCGAAGGCGCCUCACCAGGACGGCUCCGACAGUGAGGGACGAAAGCUGGGGGAGCAAACCGGAUUAGAUACCCGGGUAGUCCCAGCCGUAAACGAUGUGCGUUAGGUGUAUCGGUGACCACGAGUCACCGAGGUGCCGAAGAGAAAUCGUGAAACGUACCGCCUGGGAAGUACGGUCGCAAGGCUGAAACUUAAAGGAAUUGGCGGGGGAGCACAAGGGCGAUUCGCG
RNAcentral lists this ribosomal RNA (563 nucleotides) under uncultured archaeon. Its description in RNAcentral is "bacterial SSU rRNA". It matches the Rfam family "Archaeal small subunit ribosomal RNA", at positions 326 to 897 of the family's 1478-position model. The record is from RNAcentral.